AUGGUGUUGAUGCAGGCAGAUCUCUUCCUGAACAAGCUGACCAGCAUGUGCAAGAGGAGCACGGAGAAGGGCUCUAUGUGGGUCACCAUGAAGCGAUUGUCGAUGAAGUGUCAGGCUAGGUUGAAGAAGAUGGCGAGUAAGGGGGAGCCUGUUGAGUACCGGUGCCUGGUCUACGCCACCGAUGGAAGAGGAACAUCUCCACCUCGUGGACUAGAACAUUGUUUAUUUCUGGAAAACAUGAACAAAAAGGCUCAACGAAAUGGUCUACAAAAGGGACAUGGCCGAGAAAGUUAA
This 294-nucleotide ribosomal RNA is filed under the name Triticum aestivum (bread wheat). Its description in RNAcentral is "partial small subunit ribosomal RNA". The record is from RNAcentral. Lineage: Eukaryota; Viridiplantae; Streptophyta; Magnoliopsida; Poales; Poaceae.